UAGAUUUUGGUUGUAAUUUGAUUUGAUCAAAUGUUGUAAAAGAGCAUAAGCUCUUCUUUACUUUAAAGUAAUUUAUUUUGAUCAAUUGUUGUAAAAGAGCAUAAGCUCUUCUUUACUUUGAAGUACUCCUUUCUUGUAUUAUUUGAUAUGCAUGAAAAUGGAGUAGAGGGUCCAACACACCUUAAUGUGAUUAAACGCGUAACUAAAAUCAAUCACCAUCCCUAGACCGAGAUUCAACACUAGGCUCGUGUUGAAUCUAAACAAAGGUUCAUAGUCAUCCUAAGGUCCUAAGGCAACUAUAUAGUCCAUCAAUGAAUGCAAACCUUAUGUUAGUAGUAUCAUAUACUCUUGCUUUAAAAACCGUUUUAUAAGCAUAGUGAGAGUAUUAUAUACAACUAAAACAAUCAAAUGGACCAAUAGUUGUAAUAGGACCAAAAUUGUUUUAAUAUAGAUUAAAAUGAAUAUUUAUAUGUGAUGAGACCUAAAAACCCUCAACCAAACCAUUAUUAAGUUGAUAAGCGUGAGAGUGCUUUGAACACUCUUUCGUGGCCUUCCACCGUGGUAGCUCUGAUCGUUUGUGACUCGUACACUGGCUUCACCCUAUCAUGGGGGAGUACAAAGUGCGUGCUUACACUCAGGAGGAGUCUAUAUACAUACUUGAUGAGGUGAGGUGGGCAACGAGUUUAGCCAACAUGAUAUAAUUCUGAGGCUAUGCUUGAACCCCUACACGAACUAGGCAUGGUGGGAAUGACUUAACUAAGUGCAAUGACGCCAACAUGAUAUAAUUCUCAGGCAUCAUUCUCUAGAGGCCAAAUUAGAUGGGUACUUGCAAGAGAUGCAAAUGAGUAAGCGUACUCUCUCAUUAUUAUUAACGCUAGCCAACAUGAUAUAAUUCUGAGGUGGGCUUGGUAGUAGUGAGUCUCCCAUACCCUACUAAGAGUUUCAUCCAAAACUCUCGAAUUCCAAUGAGGGAUAUGGAAUUUGCCAAAAAUAGUGGGUGGUGCUAUUUGAUUUAAAGACCCGAAUCAAAUGGCUUAAAAUCAAUCAAUUUAUAUUCGUUAUGUAUUUACUUACCAUUAUAUUUGCAAACGCUAUCCCACACUUGACAAAUAAAAGCCGAAUGCUUUAGUUUCCGGACUUGGUACAACAAUCCCAAAGAUUGUCUUAAAUGAAUUGUAGAAGUACCUAAGUAGUCUCAUCCUCACAAUCUUCCUAUUGAUAAUGUAUCAUUGGAAGAA
Molecule: long non-coding RNA, 1238 nt
Filed under: Malus domestica (apple)
Lineage: Eukaryota; Viridiplantae; Streptophyta; Magnoliopsida; Rosales; Rosaceae
Description: long non-coding RNA (MDOM_LNC021027)
Source: RNAcentral